UACGGCCACUUCACAUUGAAACACUUAUUCCAAUACGAUCACCAAAGUUAAGCAACGUCGAGCCUGGUCAGUACCUAGAUGGGUGACUGAUUGGGAAUAGCAGGUGCUGUAUGC
Non-coding RNA from Acanthosepion pharaonis, 114 nucleotides. NCBI's taxonomy places the organism in Eukaryota, Metazoa, Mollusca, Cephalopoda, Sepiida, Sepiidae. The record is from the annotation of a GenBank genome assembly.